RNAcentral lists this ribosomal RNA (1351 nucleotides) under metagenome. Its description in RNAcentral is "bacterial LSU rRNA". It matches the Rfam family "Bacterial large subunit ribosomal RNA", at positions 1553 to 2925 of the family's 2925-position model. The record is from RNAcentral.
AUCCGAAGACGUGAUGUGGAGCGAAAUAAAGUAGCAAAGCGUGUGAGCCAUGUGCCGAGAAAAGCUGCUAUUGUGUAAUGCGUGCCCGUACCGUAAACCGACACAGGUGGAUGAGGAGAGAAUCCUAAGGCCGACGGAAGAAGCAUUGUUAAGGAAUUCGGCAAAAUGACCCCGUAACUUCGGGAGAAGGGGUGCCUGCGAGAGCAGGCCGCAGAGAAUAGGCUCAAGCAACUGUUUAGCAAAAACACAGGUCUAUGCGAAACCGAAAGGUGAAGUAUAUGUGCUGACGCCUGCCCGGUGCUGGAAGGUUAAGAGGAGAGGUUAGCGUAAGCGAAGCUUUGAAUUUAAGCCCCAGUAAACGGCGGCCGUAACAAUAACGGUCCUAAGGUAGCGAAAUUCCUUGUCGGGUAAGUUCCGACCCGCACGAAAGGCGUAAUGAUUUGAGCACUGUCUCGACAAUGCAUCCGGUGAAAUUGAAGUACCAGUGAAGAUGCUGGUUACCCGCGCCAGGACGGAAAGACCCCAUGGAGCUUUACUCCAGUUUGAUACUGGGAUUCGGUACUGCAUGUACAGGAUAGGUGGGGGACGAAGAAGGAUGGACGCCAGUCUGUCCGGAGUCGCUGUUGGGAUACCACCCCUGUAGUACUGGGUUUCUAACCAGUUGCCAUGAACUGGCAAUGGGACAAUGUCAGGCGGGGAGUUUGACUGGGGCGGUCGCCUCCGAAAGGGUAUCGGAGGCGCUCAAAGGUUCCCUCAGAAUGGUUGGAAACCAUUUGAAGAGUGCAAAGGCAGAAGGGAGCUUGACUGCGACACCGACGGGUGGAGCAGGUACGAAAGUAGGACUUAGUGAUCCGGUGGUAUAAAGUGGGAUUGCCAUCGCUCAACGGAUAAAAGCUACCCUGGGAUAACAGGCUUAUCACUCCCAAGAGUUCACAUCGACGGAGUGGUUUGGCACCUCGAUGUCGGCUCAUCGCAUCCUGGGGCUGUAGCAGGUCCCAAGGGUUGGGCUGUUCGCCCAUUAAAGCGGUACGCGAGCUGGGUUCAGAACGUCGUGAGACAGUUCGGUCCCUAUCCGGCGCGGGCGGAGGAUAUUUGAGAGGAGCUGUCCUUAGUACGAGAGGACCGGGAUGGACGGACCACUGGUGUAUCUGUUGUCGACCAACGGCAUGGCAGAGUAGCCAAGUCUGGAAGGGAUAAACGCUGAAGGCAUCUAAGCGUGAAGCCCCCCUCAAGAUGAGAUAUCCCUCCUUCGGGAGUAAGACCCCUUGAAGACUACAAGGUAGAUAGGGCAGAGGUGGAAGCAUGGCAACAUGUGGAGCUGACUGUUACUAAUAGGUCGAGGGCUUAAUGA